This 492-nucleotide ribosomal RNA is filed under the name uncultured bacterium. RNAcentral's name for it is "partial 16S ribosomal RNA". It matches the Rfam family "Bacterial small subunit ribosomal RNA", at positions 29 to 507 of the family's 1533-position model. The record is from RNAcentral.
AGUGAACGCUGGCGGUAGGCCUAACACAUGCAAGUCGAACGGCAGCACAGUAAGAGCUUGCUCUUACGGGUGGCGAGUGGCGGACGGGUGAGGAAUACAUCGGAAUCUACUUUUUCGUGGGGGAUAACGUAGGGAAGCUUACGCUAAUACCGCAUACGACCUACGGGUGAAAGCAGGGGAUCUUCGGACCUUGCGCGAUUGAAUGAGCCGAUGUCGGAUUAGCUAGUUGGCGGGGUAAAGGCCCACCAAGGCGACGAUCCGUAGCUGGUCUGAGAGGAUGAUCAGCCACACUGGAACUGAGACACGGUCCAGACUCCUACGGGAGGCAGCAGUGGGGAAUAUUGGACAAUGGGCGCAAGCCUGAUCCAGCCAUACCGCGUGGGUGAAGUAGGCCUUCGGGUUGUAAAGCCCUUUUGUUGGGAAAGAAAAGCAGCAGGUUAAUACCCCGCUGUUCUGACGGUACCCAAAGAAUAAGCACCGGCUAACUUCGUG